RNAcentral lists this long non-coding RNA (363 nucleotides) under Oryza sativa (Asian cultivated rice). RNAcentral describes it as "long non-coding RNA (OSAT_LNC001889)". Lineage: Eukaryota; Viridiplantae; Streptophyta; Magnoliopsida; Poales; Poaceae. The record is from RNAcentral.
UCCUCUUGUACUUCUGACAACCUUCUGUGUGAUUCUAGCUGGUUUUCCUUCAAUUCCACCUUUUGAGCUUCCACUUGUUCUAGUUCAUCUUUAAGGUUUGUGAUAAGUGAUCUAGACUCAUCCAUUUGUAGCUUCAGUUCCACCUUUUGAGCUUCCACUUGUUCUAGUUCGUCUUUAAGGUUUGUGAUAAGUGAUCUAGACUCAUCCAUUUGUAGCUUCAGUUCCACCUUUUGAGCUUCCACUUGUUCUAGUUCAUCUUUAAGGUUUGUGAUAAGUGAUCUAGACUCAUCCAUUUGUAGCAUGCUUAACUCCUUUUCAUUUGCCAGAUAGGUCAACUGAGACUCUAGUCCAGAUAUGAACUCU